ACUUAUUAUUAAAGAAGCAUUUUUCCUCCACCCAGAAUCCUAUAAAUGUUGUAAAUAGAACAUGGAAAUUGUAGUAGUAGGAUCAAUUUGAGAAUAUCUGCUGAUAGACCAAAAAGUUCAUUUUUUUAAGUACCUUGGUUAAUUAAAAAGUAAAAAGAUUAUUUCUCUUGCUUAUUUUUGAAAAGAAGAAUGCACUUUAACAUAGAGCUGCAUGGGCAAUUCAAACAAAUCUGUGAAGUGCAGUACCC
This is a long non-coding RNA of Dipodomys spectabilis (banner-tailed kangaroo rat), 248 nucleotides long. RefSeq lists it as uncharacterized. The transcript is spliced from 3 exons. The record is from RefSeq and is a predicted model, not a curated record. Lineage: Eukaryota; Metazoa; Chordata; Mammalia; Rodentia; Heteromyidae.